RNAcentral lists this long non-coding RNA (1143 nucleotides) under Salmo salar (Atlantic salmon). RNAcentral's name for it is "lncRNA (ENSSSAG00000100575.1)". The record is from RNAcentral. Lineage: Eukaryota; Metazoa; Chordata; Actinopteri; Salmoniformes; Salmonidae.
CAGAUUUGUAAAAAAUAAAACCUUUUUUUGGUGUAGAUAACAUUUACCAGACAGAAUGAAGAAAUGAACGGCUAAUUCAAUUGUUUUGUUUUCAUUUUAGUAACAUCUUUCAUGGUAAAUACAUGGAUCUUAUUAACGAAAUAAAACAUUUAAAUACUUAACUUGCUCUAAAAUAACUUGACAGAGUCACACUCGUAAAACAUGUGUAUAAUAGCUUCCCCUUCUUUAUCACAGAAAAUGCAUCAUUAUGUUCUCUAAGUCCAUGAAUUUAGACAAGUUAUUGCAAGGGUAUAUUUUGAACAAGAUUUUAAAGGGAGCAACCAAGCUUUCUUCCAUUCAAUUUCAGUAGAUCUAUGAAUUCCAGAAGAAUUUCCCUCUAUGAGGGAUCUUGUUCAUGGAGUUCAAGUUAUCUUAAGAAUGUAUUACAUUUCUUAUCCAGCAGGGGGCAACCUUUUAACAUUGUGCAUCUAUCAUGACAUGUUCUCCAAAGCAAAAAAUGCGAUUUAAUUAAGUCCUGAAGGUAUUGGUUUGAAUAUAGAAUUACAUCAUUACUGUAUUUUUACAACUAUCGUAGGUUUAUACAAUUGUAACCCCUUAUUUUAGGUACUUACAUUUUUUAAACUCAAUUCAUAUGUAGUGAUUUGUAUUUAUUUUUUUACUUUUUGUUUCUUCAGAUAAAAUAUAUGCGUAGUGAUGUCCUAUGUAUUUUUUGUGGUAUUAUAAUAUAUACAAUUGAUUUAGUGAAGGCGGAGGCACUUGGUCAUGGCUAGAAGGGACCCAGCGUUUGUCAAAUUAACGUCAGAUUUGAUUUAUUUUAAGCAGGUUAGGAGAACACACUGCAGGUUCAGGUUAGGAGAACACGCUGCAGGUUAGGAGAACACGCCGCAGGUUAGGAGAACACGCUGCUGGUUCAGGUUAGGAGAACACGCUGCAGGUUAGGAGAACACGCCGCAGGUUAGGAGAACACGCUGCAGGUUAGGAGAACACGCUGCAGGUUAGGAGAACACGCUGCAGGUUCAGGUUAGGAGAACACGCCGCAGGUUAGGAGAACACGCUGCUGGUUCAGGUUAGGAGAACACGCCGCAGGUUAGGAGAACACGCCGCAGGUUCAGGUUAGGAGAACACGCUGCAGGUUAGGAGAAC